AGUCGAGCGGGGAGAGGUAGCUUGCUACCUGACCUAGCGGCGGACGGGUGAGUAAUGCUUAGGAAUCUGCCUAUUAGUGGGGGACAACAUUCCGAAAGGAAUGCUAAUACCGCAUACGCCCUACGGGGGAAAGCAGGGGAUCUUCGGACCUUGCGCUAAUAGAUGAGCCUAAGUCAGAUUAGCUAGUUGGUGGGGUAAAGGCCUACCAAGGCGACGAUCUGUAGCGGGUCUGAGAGGAUGAUCCGCCACACUGGGACUGAGACACGGCCCAGACUCCUACGGGAGGCAGCAGUGGGGAAUAUUGGACAAUGGGCGAAAGCCUGAUCCAGCCAUGCCGCGUGUGUGAAGAAGGCCUUUUGGUUGUAAAGCACUUUAAGCGAGGAGGAGGCUACUUGGAUUAAUACUCUAGGAUAGUGGACGUUACUCGCAGAAUAAGCACCGGCUAACUCUGUGCCAGCAGCCGCGGUAAUACAGAGGGUGCGAGCGUUAAUCGGAUUUACUGGGCGUAAAGCGUGCGUAGGCGGCUUCUUAAGUCGGAUGUGAAAUCCCUGAGCUUAACUUAGGAAUUGCAUUCGAUACUGGGAAGCUAGAGUAUGGGAGAGGAUGGUAGAAUUCCAGGUGUAGCGGUGAAAUGCGUAGAGAUCUGGAGGAAUACCGAUGGCGAAGGCAGCC
Molecule: ribosomal RNA, 672 nt
Filed under: Acinetobacter sp. T3-5
Lineage: Bacteria; Pseudomonadati; Pseudomonadota; Gammaproteobacteria; Moraxellales; Moraxellaceae
Description: bacterial SSU rRNA
Rfam family: Bacterial small subunit ribosomal RNA
Source: RNAcentral